UACAGAGGUGGCAAGCGUUGUUCGGAAUUACUGGGCGUAAAGGGCGUGUAGGCGGUCUUCUAAGUCAGACGUGAAAUCCCCCGGCUUAACCUGGGAACUGCGUCUGAUACUGGGAGGCUUGAGUAUGGGAGAGGGAUGUAGAAUUCCAGGUGUAGCGGUGAAAUGCGUAGAUAUGCGGAGGAACACCGAUGGCGAAGGCAAUCCCCUGGGCCUGAACUGACGCUCAUGCACGAAAGCGUGGGGAGCAAACAGG
This 253-nucleotide ribosomal RNA is filed under the name uncultured bacterium. RNAcentral describes it as "partial 16S ribosomal RNA". It matches the Rfam family "Bacterial small subunit ribosomal RNA", at positions 524 to 776 of the family's 1533-position model. The record is from RNAcentral.